This 253-nucleotide ribosomal RNA is filed under the name uncultured bacterium. RNAcentral describes it as "partial 16S ribosomal RNA". It matches the Rfam family "Bacterial small subunit ribosomal RNA", at positions 524 to 776 of the family's 1533-position model. The record is from RNAcentral.
UACGUAGGGGGCGAGCGUUGUCCGGAGUUACUGGGCGUAAAGGGCACGCAGGCGGUGCGGCGCGUUUCGCGUGACAGCGGAGGGCUUAACUCUCCGAGGAUGCGAAAGACGGCGGCACUUGAGGGCCAGAGAGGGACACGGAAUUCCGGGUGGAGUGGUGAAAUGCGUAGAGAUCCGGAGGAACACCGAAGGCGAAGGCAGUGUCCUGGCUGGUGACUGACGCUGAGGUGCGAAAGCUAGGGGAGCGAACGGG